This 186-nucleotide small nuclear RNA is filed under the name Dipodomys ordii (Ord's kangaroo rat). Its description in RNAcentral is "U2 spliceosomal RNA". It matches the Rfam family "U2 spliceosomal RNA". From Rfam's summary of the family: U2 is a small nuclear RNA (snRNA) component of the spliceosome (involved in pre-mRNA splicing). The record is from Rfam by way of RNAcentral. Lineage: Eukaryota; Metazoa; Chordata; Mammalia; Rodentia; Heteromyidae.
AUAGCUUCUCUGUCUUUUGGCUAAGAUCUGAUAAGGGGCGGUUUCUGUUCUUAUUGCUUUAGUAUCUGUUAUGUCCUCUAUCCGAGAACAGUAUAUUAAUAAGUGGAUUUUUGGUCAAAGAAAUGGAAUGGGAUUGUCUCUGUCCAUUAUACUCAUUGUAGUACCUUCAAGAAUGAUGCAUCCUUC